Molecule: long non-coding RNA, 384 nt
Filed under: Arabidopsis thaliana (thale cress)
Lineage: Eukaryota; Viridiplantae; Streptophyta; Magnoliopsida; Brassicales; Brassicaceae
Description: long non-coding RNA (ATHA_LNC000316)
Source: RNAcentral
GAAAGUAUCGCUGGGUUUAACAGCAUCGACGGAGAUGGAACGCGUCUGCUGGUGCCUCCCGAAAGCCGCCGUGUGGUUGACAGAUCGAGGGGUGGAGAUGAAAGGGGAAAGGGAAGAGACAUACCUCGCCGGAGCGUGAGGAACAAGGUGAGGUGUUUCAGCGUUACGGUGUCGUUUUGUGUCGUUAACGAGACGUUUGACGAUUCCUCUGUAAGCAAGUCUCCUUGCGCGCUCCAUUGGGAAAAAAGGUUGCAGUCAGAAAACGAAGAGAGUAAGAGAGAUGUUUUGAGAAAGAUGGAUGUCUUUUUUAGUUUUUCGCCAUGAAUGAAAGGAGGAGGUAGAAGCUAGCUACAAGGAGGGAAUCUGAGAGAGAGUAUAUACAAU